CAGGAUGAACGCUAGCGACAGGCCUAACACAUGCAAGUCAGGGGCAGCACAAGGAGCAAUCUGAGGUGGCGACCGGCGCACGGGUGAGUAACACGUAUGCAACCUGCCUGUAAGCGGGGAAUAACCCGUUGAAAGACGGACUAAUACCGCAUAAUACUAAAUUACUGCAUGGUAAUUAUUUAAACAUUUAUGGCUUACAGAUGGGCAUGCGCAUGAUUAGCUAGUUGGAGAGGUAACGGCUCCCCAAGGCAACGAUCAUUAGGGGUUCUGAGAGGAAGGUCCCCCACACUGGUACUGAGACACGGACCAGACUCCUACGGGAGGCAGCAGUGAGGAAUAUUGGUCAAUGGACGAGAGUCUGAACCAGCCAAGUCGCGUGCAGGAAGAAUGUCCUUAAUGGAUUGUAAACUGCUUUUGCAGGGGAAUAAAGUGCAUCACGUGUGAUGUUUUGUAUGUACUCUGCGAAUAAGGAUCGGCUAACUCCGUGCCAGCCGCUGC
This 498-nucleotide ribosomal RNA is filed under the name uncultured bacterium. RNAcentral describes it as "bacterial SSU rRNA". It matches the Rfam family "Bacterial small subunit ribosomal RNA", at positions 25 to 518 of the family's 1533-position model. The record is from RNAcentral.